UACGGAGGGGGCUAGCGUUGUUCGGAAUUACUGGGCGUAAAGCGCGCGCAGGCGGAUCUGCAAGUCGGGGGUGAAAUCCCGAGGCUCAACCUCGGAACUGCCUUCGAUACUGCGGGUCUCGAGUCCGGGAGAGGUGAGUGGAAUUCCUAGUGUAGAGGUGAAAUUCGUAGAUAUUAGGAAGAACACCAGUGGCGAAGGCGGCUCACUGGCCCGGUACUGACGCUGAGGCGCGAAAGCGUGGGGAGCAAACAGG
RNAcentral lists this ribosomal RNA (253 nucleotides) under uncultured bacterium. Its description in RNAcentral is "partial 16S ribosomal RNA". It matches the Rfam family "Bacterial small subunit ribosomal RNA", at positions 524 to 776 of the family's 1533-position model. The record is from RNAcentral.